RNAcentral lists this ribosomal RNA (480 nucleotides) under Hydrophis parviceps. Its description in RNAcentral is "partial 16S ribosomal RNA". It matches the Rfam family "Bacterial large subunit ribosomal RNA", at positions 1857 to 2601 of the family's 2925-position model. Lineage: Eukaryota; Metazoa; Chordata; Lepidosauria; Squamata; Elapidae. The record is from RNAcentral.
GCCUGCCCAGUGAAUAAUUAAACGGCCGCGGUACCCUAACCGUGCAAAGGUAGCGUAAUCAUUUGUCUAUUAAUUGUAGACCCGUAUGAAAGGCAUAAUGAGGGUUUAACUGUCUCUUUUAGUAAAUCAAUUAAACUGAUCUCCUAGUCCAAAAGCUAGGAUACCAACAUAAGACCAGAAGACCCUGUGAAACUUUAACUAAAAUAUUAAAGCCUAUAAUAACUACUUUAGGUUGGGGCGACCUUGGAAAAUAAAAGAACUUCCACACACAUAUUAUAUAAUAAUAUAUAACCGGCCAACAAGCCUACAACGACCCAGCACAGCUGACAAUUGAACCAAGCUACUCCAGGGAUAACAGCGCUAUCUUCUUCAAGAGCCCAUAUCAAAAAGAAGGUUUACGACCUCGAUGUUGGAUCAGGACAUCCUAAUGGUGCAACCGCUAUUAAGGGUUCGUUUGUUCAACGAUUAAUAGUCCUACGU